CCAACAGGGAUUGCCUCAGUAACGGCGAGUGAAGCGGCAACAGCUCAAAUUUGAAAUCUGGCUCUUUCGGGGUCCNAGUUGUAAUUUGUAGAGAGUGCUUCGGGGGAGACCGCGGUCUAAGUCCAUUGGAACAUGGCGUCACAGAGGGUGAGAAUCCCGUAUGUGACUGUGGCUCGAGCCCAUGUGAAGCCUCUUCGACGAGUCGAGUUGUUUGGGAAUGCAGCUCAAAAUGGGUGGUAAAUUUCAUCUAAAGCUAAAUACCGGCUGGAAACCGAUAGCGCACAAGNNNNNNNNNNNNNNNNNNNNNNNNNNNNNNNNNNNNNNNNNNNNNNNNNNNNNNNNUUGUUGAAAGGGAAGCGCUUGCAACCAGACCUGCCCGUAGGUGAUCAGCCGCUGUUCUCCAGUGGUGCACUCGCUCUACGAUCAGGCCAGCAUCGGUUCCGGCGGUCGGAUAAAGGCCUUGGGAAUGUAGCUCUCUCCGGGGAGUCUUAUAGCCCUCGGUGCAAUGCGGCCAGUCGGGAUCGAGGACCGCGCUUCGGCUAGGAUGCUGGCGUAAUGGUUGUAAGCGACCCGUCUUGAAACACGGACCAAGGAGUCUACCAUCUACGCGAGUGUUUGGGUGUUAAACCCAUGCGCGGAAUGAAAGUGAACGGAGGUGAGAACCCUUAGGGCGCAUCAUCGACCGAUCCAGAUGUCUUCGGAUGGAUUUGAGUAUGAGCGUAGCUGGUGGGACCCGAAAGGUAUGUCAUUUCCUAUGAUUAAUGUAUAGAAUACGAACUAACGUUUGCGAAAGACAGUGAACUAUGCCUGAAUAGGGUGAAGCCAGAGGAAACUCUGGUGGAGGCUCGCAGCGGUUCUGACGUGCAAAUCGAUCGUCAAAUUUGGGUAUAGGGGCGAAAGACUAAUCGAACUGUCUAGUAGCUGGUUCCUGCCGAAGUUUCCCUCAGGAUAGCAGUAACGUUUUCAGUUUUAUGAGGUAAAGCGAAUGAUUAGAGGCCUUGGGGUUGAAACAACCUUAACCUAUUCUCAAACUUUAAAUAUGUAAGAAGUCCUUGUUGCUUAGUUGAACGUGGACAUUUGAAUGCACCGUUACUAGUGGGCCAUUUUUGGUAAGCAGAACUGGCGAUGCGGGAUGAACCGAACGCGAGGUUAAGG
This 1155-nucleotide ribosomal RNA is filed under the name Cetraria aurescens. RNAcentral's name for it is "partial 28S ribosomal RNA". It matches the Rfam family "Eukaryotic large subunit ribosomal RNA", at positions 65 to 1185 of the family's 3401-position model. Lineage: Eukaryota; Fungi; Ascomycota; Lecanoromycetes; Lecanorales; Parmeliaceae. The record is from RNAcentral.